CUGGCGGCAGGCCUAACACAUGCAAGUCGAGCGGUAGAGAGGUGCUUGCAUCUCUUGAGAGCGGCGGACGGGUGAGUAAUGCCUAGGAAUCUGCCUAGUGGUGGGGGAUAACGUUCGGAAACGGACGCUAAUACCGCAUACGUCCUACGGGAGAAAGCGGGGGAUCUUCGGACCUCGCGCCAUUAGAUGAGCCUAGGUCGGAUUAGCUAGUUGGUGAGGUAAUGGCUCACCAAGGCGACGAUCCGUAACUGGUCUGAGAGGAUGAUCAGUCACACUGGAACUGAGACACGGUCCAGACUCCUACGGGAGGCAGCAGUGGGGAAUAUUGGACAAUGGGCGAAAGCCUGAUCCAGCCAUGCCGCGUGUGUGAAGAAGGUCUUCGGAUUGUAAAGCACUUUAAGUUGGGAGGAAGGGUAGUAACCUAAUACGUUGCUACUUUGACGUUACCGACAGAAUAAGCACCGGCUAACUUCGUG
RNAcentral lists this ribosomal RNA (476 nucleotides) under uncultured bacterium. RNAcentral's name for it is "bacterial SSU rRNA". It matches the Rfam family "Bacterial small subunit ribosomal RNA", at positions 36 to 507 of the family's 1533-position model. The record is from RNAcentral.